AAUCAACGCUGGCGGCGUGCCUAACACAUGCAAGUCGAACGAGAAAGUGACUUCGGUCACUGGAUAGUGGCGUCCGGGUGAGUAACACGUAGGUAAUCUACCUUCGGGUGGGGAAUAACUCGCCGAAAGGCGAGCUAAUACCGCAUAAUGCAGCGGCACCUAAUGGUGAUUAGUUGUUAAAGCGGGGGAUCUUCGGACCUCGCGCCUGAAGAGGAGCCUGCGGCAGAUAGCUAGUUGGUGAGGUAAUGGCUCACCAAGGCUUCGAUCUGUAGCUGGUCUGAGAGGACGGCCAGCCACACUGGCACUGACACACGGGCCAGACUCCUACGGGA
This 332-nucleotide ribosomal RNA is filed under the name uncultured bacterium. RNAcentral's name for it is "bacterial SSU rRNA". It matches the Rfam family "Bacterial small subunit ribosomal RNA", at positions 32 to 346 of the family's 1533-position model. The record is from RNAcentral.